UCAGACGAUGCGUCAUGCAUAUCAAUAAGCGGAGGAAAAGAAACUAACAAGGAUUCCCCUAGUAACGGCGAGUGAAGCGGGAAGAGCUCAAAUUUGAAAUCUUAAAGGGUUUCCCUUUACGAAUUGUAGUUUAAAGAAGUGUUUUCUGUUGAGGUUUUGGUAAAAGUUCUUUGGAAUAGGACAUCAUAGAGGGUGAGAAUCCCGUAUUUGACCUUUACUUUCAACUUUGUGAUACACUUUCAAAGAGUCGGAUUGUGUGGGAAUGCAGUCCCAAAAUGGGUGGUAAAUUUCAUCUAAAGCUAAAUAUUGGCGAGAGACCGAUAGCGAACAAGUACCGUGAGGGAAAGAUGAAAAGAACUUUGAAAAGAGAGUUAAACAGUACGUGAAAUUGUCAAAAGGGAAGCGUUUGACACCAUGUGUUGUUUUUCUGAAAAUCAAUUAAAGAACUGUUUAUGCUAAGCUGUUUAGACUUUAUCAGCUAAUCUGUUUAGUUUUGAGCUUUUCUUUAAUGCACUUUUCAGUUAACAAGUCAACAUCAAUUUCUUUUGCUGUAAAAAAGCUUGAGGAAGGUGGCUUGAGAUUCGUCUUAAGUGUUUAUAGCCUCUUGCCUAUGCAGUCGGAGAGAUUGAGGUCUGCAGCGUAGAUCCUUCGGGGCUAAAUGCAUUUGUGCUAAGUUAUAGCAUUUUAUAGACAACUUGUUGACUAUGAUUUGUCUUGUAGCUUACUCGCUUAUGUUAUUUUACCUACGCUUAGGAUGUUGAGCGCAUGUCUCUCUCU
RNAcentral lists this ribosomal RNA (777 nucleotides) under uncultured Neocallimastigales. RNAcentral's name for it is "partial large subunit ribosomal RNA". It matches the Rfam family "Eukaryotic large subunit ribosomal RNA", at positions 18 to 642 of the family's 3401-position model. Lineage: Eukaryota; Fungi; Neocallimastigomycota; Neocallimastigomycetes; Neocallimastigales. The record is from RNAcentral.